CGCCAACGGAGUAUCAGUAGUUUUUCUCUAUUGAAGAGAUUUUCCCAUGCCAUUCAUUUCCCUCCACUUUCAGAAGCGAUAAACCCUCUACCCCUCAGAAGCGAUAAACCCUCUACCCCUCAGAAGCAGCAGCAGCAAUGGCGAAAAUCGCCUUUCAAAAUCUCCUUCCAGCCCUAGGUUUGGGGUUUCCAUCAAAAUCAUUUCUCUCCAGCAGAAUUCCAUCUCUCCCACCUCAUUACCUCUCCUUAAACAGAGGCAGGAGAUUCUCCUCGUCAUCAAAGAUCAGCAUGAGCUUGAAAGCUGGCAUUGUCGGACUCCCCAACGUCGGAAAAUCCACCCUCUUCAAUGCCGUCGUUGAGAAUGGAAAAGCGCAAGCUGCAAAUUUUCCCUUUUGCACGAUAGAGCCCAAUGUUGGGAUUGUUGCAGUUCCAGAUCCACGCUUGAAUGUGCUUUCUGAUCUCAGCAAAUCUCAACGAGCGGUCCCAGCAUCUAUAGAAUUUGUAGAUAUUGCUGGGCUUGUGAAAGGAGCCAGUCAAGGAGAGGGCUUGGGGAAUAAAUUUCUUUCACAUAUUCGUGAAGUGGAUUCCAUUCUUCAGGUUGUCCGCUGUUUUGAGGAUAAUGACAUUGUUCAUGUGAAUGGGAAAAUCGACCCAAAAUCAGAUAUUGAUGUCAUCAACUUAGAGCUGGUUUUCUCUGACCUAGAUCAGAUUGAGAAACGAAUGGAGAAACUCAAGAAGAGCAAAGGGAAAGAUUCACCAUCAAAACUGAAGGAGGAAGCAGAAAGGUCUGCACUGGAAAGAAUUCAACAGGCACUCAUGGAUGGAAAACCAGCUAGAUCAGUUGCUUUAAUAGAUUUUGAAAAGGAGUCUAUACGGCAUCUUUGUUUACUCACAAUGAAACCGAUCAUAUAUGUAGCUAAUGUUGCAGAAUCUGAUCUUUCUGAACCUGGUAACAAUCCUCAUGUCAGAGAUGUGAUUAACCUUGCAUCUGAGUUGCAAUCAGGCCUGGUAACAAUCUCGGCACAGGUUGAGUCCGAGCUUACUGAACUUUCACCUGAAGAAAGAAAUGAGUACUUAAAAUCUCUUGGCGUCGAUGAAAGUGGUCUUGGGACCCUUAUAAGAGCAACGUAUCAACUUUUGGGGCUUCGCACUUACUUUACAUCAGGAGAGAAGGAAACAAAAGCAUGGACUAUACUUGCAGGAAUGACGGCACCACAAGCAGCUGGUGUAAUUCAUUCUGAUUUUGAAAAAGGCUUCAUUCGAGCUGAGACUGUGGCGUAUGAUGAUUUCAUUGCAGCUGGUUCGCUAGCAGCUGCAAGGGAGAAAGGACUUGUAAGUAGUUGAGGUCCGAGGGGAAAGACUACAUUGUACAGGAAGGUGAUGUAAUGCUGUUUCGGUUCAACGUCUGAUCUGAUCAAUGAUUUCAACUAGAAGGUGUGAUACUUUUAUGAAGUGUCACUUGGAGAGGGGUGUGAUACUUUUAUUAAGUGUGUCACUUCGAGAGGGGUGUGAUACUUUUAUUAAGUGUGUCACUCCGAGAGAGGUGUGAUACUUUUAUGAGUAACAACGGGUAAUUCUAAUGUUUGAGCUCUUGGAGCUUUUGGUUCCAUGGACAAUUGGAAUGGUUUUCUUUUUGGGUAUGAUUUACUGAUUUUAUGAGGGUCCCAUCUUGCAACCCAUGUGGAUGCCACCUUUUUUGUACAUAUAAUUUCUGUUUUUCUUGUGGUACCAUCAAACGGAUUGAUCAUUGCAAGUGGGGCAUUCCUUUUUGAUGUUGCCAAUGGCUAGUUGCUAGUGGAGUGCUGUUAUGACUCUUCGGCUGAUGUUGAAGUUGAUCAGACAAUUAGCAGUUCCACACCAGUUAAAUUGUCUGGAAUGUUUUAUAAUUGCAUGCUAGAUGAUAGAUAUUGAUCAAUAAAGGUGACAAUUUCUCAUUA
RNA transcript from Magnolia sinica, 1936 nucleotides. RefSeq lists it as uncharacterized. Lineage: Eukaryota; Viridiplantae; Streptophyta; Magnoliopsida; Magnoliales; Magnoliaceae. The transcript has 13 exons. The record is from RefSeq and is a predicted model, not a curated record.